Molecule: non-coding RNA, 132 nt
Organism: Triticum aestivum (bread wheat)
Lineage: Eukaryota; Viridiplantae; Streptophyta; Magnoliopsida; Poales; Poaceae
Source: Rfam
AGUAUACUCCCUCCGUCCGAAAAUACUUGUCAUCAAAAUGAUAAAAAAAUGUAUUUAAAAUUAAAAUAUGUCUAGAUACAUCUUCUUUUAUUUAUUUUGAUGAUAAAUAUUUCCGGACGGAAGGAGUACUAU